CACAUUUCGAAACUUACUUUUGCUGCGGUGCUCUGCUCCAUUCGAACCCUAAACCAUAAACGACGUCCUCGGAGAUCCCGGCAUCGUCACCGCAAUCGGAUAUGUUUCGGUUCUUGUAGUAAAACUGUAGAAGCAUCCAUUGAUAACUGUUUUUUGUGUUUGUAGUUUUUUUUUUUUUUUUUAAUUGUUCCAGUAAAAGAGAUUCCGUUUUUUGAAUUGUUUUUUGGGCAAUCGAAGCGGAAAUGGAAAUCCGUAAUGUUGAACUUCGGUUGAUCGAUUGAAAUGGAUUGAGAUUGAUGAACGAGAUGAUUAACACUGUGGAGCGAUUUUUUGGCAAUCGAGAUCGAAAUGGAAAACCAUAAUGUUGAGCUCGGUUUGAUCGCUGGAAAAAGAUUGAAAUUAAUGGAAGAAAUUCUUUAAAUUUUGAAGUGUGCUUUUGCAAUCGAAAUGGAAUUGGAAAACCUUAUUGUUAUACGUUUUAUGGCUCGCAAAAAGAUUGAAAUUAGGGAAGGAAAUGGAUCUUAAGCCUUUUUUGACCGCUGGAAAGGAAUUGAAAGUAAUGAGGGAGAUGAAUUUUAGGCCUUUUUUUCUUUCUUUUCUUUUCUAGCAUUAUAUUACACUCUGAAUUUUUGGUUGCCAUGAGACAGAAAAAUAAAGUUGUAUUGUAGGAUUAUUUGGCUUAAUUUAGGUUGUGUUUUUGUUUUUCUAAGGAACAGAUAAAAAGAAAAAAAAAUGCAAAAAGAAAAUUUUAUUAUGAUUUUCUUUCAUCAUAUUUACUGUCAACCAAACAGAGGGUUUUCAGUUUGGAAUUUAUCUGCUCCGUGUCUUUUUCUUUUAUCGCAGAUGACGGGAAAUUAGAUUUUUGAUUUAAGGGAAACGAUGCAAAACCUUGGUAAAAUAAAAGAUUCUUACCAGGUAUCAUUUUGUUUUGAUUAACGAGCUAUUGCCAUAUGCUUGUUGCAUACCGAUAUGUGUUUCUGCAUGUAUAAACAAUAUCUGAUUUCGCUAAUGCUAUUGCCAGCUGAAGGCAUUGCAUUGGUUGAAAUUAUUUCAGUCUUUCCUUUAGAUUGAGUUGUAAUUAAGAGCAAUAAGCUCUUGUCUGAGGCCGUUCACAACUGCAGUGCCAUUUGGAAUCCCUGUUUGACUUGACUAGGGUUUGGAAAAGCUGAUGAAUAACAGUCUGAUGCUGGUACAAUAAAAUCACUAAGGCUUCCAGAUGGUAUAUUAAUAGAUGAACGGCAUGAGAACAUAAAAGAUUUUCAGGUGAUUUGAAUUUGUUCAAUAUUUCUUCUUUGAGUUUGGUUUAUAUGUUUAUUUAUUUUUAUUGCAGGUGGGAAGUGAAGUUGAAAAAUGGUAUAACUGAUUUCAAAACUUCCAUUGAUAUUUUAGCGAAUGCUAUGGUUGCAUAUAGAAAUGUUAAACAAUACAACUAGCAUACACCUUGGAGGCUAAAUGAAACAGAGUCUAGUUCAGGUUGACUCAUUUAGUAAACUGGUUAAAUUCCUGUUAAAUUUGGUGUAAACCCAUGCAAGAAGCUGGAAAAACUUCCAUUGGUUUUCUAGGGAGUGCUAUGUGGUAUACAGUUACACUCAAUUUCAUUUUAUUUUACUUAAUUGUUGAUGCAUGUAGAUGGUUUUCCAUUUGCUUAUGUUUGCUGUGAUGUUGGGGUUUAGCAGUUUUGUAAUAUUCUUGAUGUUUUAGUCAAAAAAUAUAUAUUAAUGGAAGAAAUGGGCUUGUGAUGGUUUGGUUGGGGUUUGAUAAAGAGUGAAAUUAGUGCACAUUUAUUCUUAACCAUAAAUAUGAGUAUCAAGAAACUUAAUGGAAUUAAAUGCUGACUUCUAUAGUCGAUCUUCUUGCUGAGGUGAUCUUUUUUCUUCUGGUGGAAAUGAUGUAGCUUGGAUGAUUUUGUGGUGCAAUUGGAAAAUCACCAAAACAUACAUUGAGCAUAAGCAUUCAAACCAUCUAUUUUAGGUAAUAAAAUGAUUGCCAAAGCAGAUGGGUGUUUAAAAGAAAGAAGAAAAAGGAAAUAUGAUAAGACUAGUUCUCUUUUUCAUUUAGUGUUGUAUUUAUUAGGAAUAGCAUUUUUUUGGAGUACUUAAUUUAGUGUAUCAAAAACUUUUUUUUUUUUUUCUUUUUGGUAAAUUUUGAAUUUAUUAAUUAGGUCUCAGGCUAUACUAUUAUGUUUAAUAAUGUUUGAUGUGGGACCAUUGACCAAUAAUAUCAAAACUUUAUCAUCUGGCUGUAAUGGAUCUUUUAUUUGUAGGUUUGGUGUUCAAGGAGAAGCAUCAGGCUCCAUUACUGAUGUUUCAUUAUUAUAAUAGUGACAAAACUCAUGGGACACCAAAUGAAUAUCGCAAGGUAUUGAAGGAAUGGGCAGUUGUGUUUCAGUUUCAGUACUCUAAGCAGUGGCUGGGUACUUUUGCUUUUAUGGUUGAAGUUUAGUUCUGGGCAACUUUUUCAUCAUUCUUUUGAGGACUGCAACAGUUCUUCUCUUGGAAUCGAUGCUGUGGGCAAAGAUGUAGGCACAACAGGCAAGACACUCCUUGUUGAUACCCAUGCAAAGAGGUUCCAUUUUUCUUGGCAAUAUUUUCACUUUUUUCUUAAUUUUCUCUCUCGUUUUUGGUGAAGUGAUUAUAUUUCAUUUUCAAGGCUUUAAACUGACUUGAUGCAGUUGUAUUUUGUAUAACUACUUUGGGAGCCCCAGGAAAGUCUUGCACUGUGUUCUCUCUUUAUGUUCUGAAAAAUGCAGCUUUGCAUGCUUAUCGAUCAGUUUAUACCUGGAAUAUUAUAUAUCA
This is a long non-coding RNA of Vitis riparia (riverbank grape), 2795 nucleotides long. RefSeq lists it as uncharacterized. The transcript has 2 exons. The record is from RefSeq and is a predicted model, not a curated record. NCBI's taxonomy places the organism in Eukaryota, Viridiplantae, Streptophyta, Magnoliopsida, Vitales, Vitaceae.